This 460-nucleotide ribosomal RNA is filed under the name uncultured bacterium. Its description in RNAcentral is "partial 16S ribosomal RNA". It matches the Rfam family "Bacterial small subunit ribosomal RNA", at positions 338 to 795 of the family's 1533-position model. The record is from RNAcentral.
CCUACGGGUGGCAGCAGUGAGGAAUAUUGGUCAAUGGACGAGAGUCUGAACCAGCCAAGUCGCGUGAAGGAUGACUGCCCUAUGGGUUGUAAACUUCUUUUAUAUGGGAAUAAAAUGUUCCACGUGUGGGAUUUUGUAUGUACCAUAUGAAUAAGGAUCGGCUAACUCCGUGCCAGCAGCCGCGGUAAUACGGAGGAUCCGAGCGUUAUCCGGAUUUAUUGGGUUUAAAGGGAGCGUAGGUGGAUUGUUAAGUCAGUUGUGAAAGUUUGCGGCUCAACCGUAGAAUUGCAGUUGAAACUGGCAGUCUUGAGUGUAGUAGAGGUAGGCGGAAUUCGUGGUGUAGCGGUGAAAUGCUUAGAUAUCACGAAGAACUCCGAUUGCGAAGGCAGUUCACUGGACUGCAACUGACGCUGAGGCACGAAAGUGUGGGUAUCAAACAGGAUUAGAUACCCUUGUAGUC